GGUACUCCAAUUUUAUUUGCUAUCUAUCUAUAAUAUCUAUUUGGAGUCCAAUAAGUUGUUUCCUAGCAUUUAGGCUAUAGGAUUAGUGGAAUCAAUUUAGAUCAAACAUUACGUAAUUCUAGGCUCAUUAACCUAUCAAAUCCUUUGAAGGUUGUGUUGAACAAGUUGCAUUGAAAAAUGCUCGAGAAAGUGAGAUGUUUAACUAUCGGGUCCACUACUUGAGUGUCCAUCAAUAUGUUGACCUACAACAAAUAUAGCGAUCCUCCAUGUAUUAUUUAAGCUUUCUAAAGAAAGUGUUAUGGAAGCCUUCUGAAAGCCUUUUACAAUUCCACAACUCCGAAGAAAGUGUUUCUUAUCAAUGAGAUCACAAAAGACCAAGAACUCUAUACUAACCUCAAAGACGGCAAUGAAAAACUUGAUGGCCAAAUCAGCAAGCUGGAAACAAUCUUGAAAAUUAUUGGGAUUAACAUACCACACCAAGCUUCUGAUCUUCUCCAAGAUAUGUUGAAAGCAUGUUAAGGCAAAAAAAUACAAUCAAUUAUAUCCAUAUUUCUAAAGAAGUAAUAAUACUCAAUUUUUCUUUUAAUCUUGUUUGUUGUUCCAAUCAGGUCAAUAGCAGUGGACCUAAUUGGAACCACAAAUAACAAA
RNAcentral lists this long non-coding RNA (648 nucleotides) under Capsicum annuum. RNAcentral's name for it is "long non-coding RNA (CANN_LNC002775)". Lineage: Eukaryota; Viridiplantae; Streptophyta; Magnoliopsida; Solanales; Solanaceae. The record is from RNAcentral.